RNAcentral lists this ribosomal RNA (253 nucleotides) under uncultured bacterium. RNAcentral's name for it is "partial 16S ribosomal RNA". It matches the Rfam family "Bacterial small subunit ribosomal RNA", at positions 524 to 776 of the family's 1533-position model. The record is from RNAcentral.
UACGUAGGGUGCGAGCGUUAAUCGGAAUUACUGGGCGUAAAGCGUGCGCAGGCGGUUUUGUAAGCCAGAUGUGAAAUCCCCGGACUUAACCUGGGAAUGGCAUUUGGGACUGCAAGGCUCGAGUGCGGCAGAGGAGACUGGAAUUCCUGGUGUAGCAGUGAAAUGCGUAGAUAUCAGGAGGAACACCGAUGGCGAAGGCAGGUCUCUGGGCUGACACUGACGCUCAUGCACGAAAGCGUGGGGAGCAAACAGG